Molecule: ribosomal RNA, 166 nt
Filed under: Lindenbergia philippensis
Lineage: Eukaryota; Viridiplantae; Streptophyta; Magnoliopsida; Lamiales; Orobanchaceae
Description: 5.8S ribosomal RNA
Rfam family: 5.8S ribosomal RNA
About the family: 5.8S ribosomal RNA (5.8S rRNA) is a component of the large subunit of the eukaryotic ribosome. It is transcribed by RNA polymerase I as part of the 45S precursor that also contains 18S and 28S rRNA.
Source: RNAcentral
CAUAACGACUCUCGACAACGGAUAUCUCGGCUCUCGCAUCGAUGAAGAACGUAGCGAAAUGCGAUACUUGGUGUGAAUUGCAGAAUCCCGUGAACCAUCGAGUCUUUGAACGCAAGUUGCGCCCGAAGCCGUUAGGCCAAGGGCACGUCUGCCUGGGCGUCACGCA